UCCCCUGAAGGAAAGUCCUUGUCCAAGGAGUGAAGAGGGUGAACAGAGGAAUCCGGGACAUGGACAAGGGAUGACACACAGAACAUAUACAUAAGAUGCAGACAGACAGAAUUGGCUGCAGUCCCAGAAGAAAAAAGGGCACAGAGACAAGAGACGGUUUCAGACUGCAGCACCGAAAAUGUACUCAUCAUUUAUUUAUAUACAGUUUAAUUGGGCAAGCGUCCUGCAGCUAUUUUUGGAGCGCCUCUGCUGCCACAGGAAAAAAACCCUCAAGGCCUCGUCCUUUACCUGCAUUGGGUCCUGAACAAGUUUAUUUGUUAGAGCUUCAUAGGGAAAGGGUUUAUAAUGUUCACAUCUAUGGAAAACAUAUUUAUCUAACAUCACAUCAGCCAAAUAGAGUGAAAAACAGUAGAACUCAGCCUACACUGGAGGAAGAGAGCAACGUCCUUAACAUGCAGCGGUCACCAAGCUUUGCCCUCUCAUUGGUGUCCUCCUUCACAUAUCAGUGGAAUAAAAUAUUUGACAUAUGUUCUUUCUAUAUUUUAAUGAGGAUCAGGUGUUUCUCUUUCAAAAAUAAUAUUCUGUCCUCUUGUAGGUUAUCCACUGAGGUGCCCUGUGCACCUGCCGUAUCUGAACUUGUGUCUGCAGAGGAAGCUGUGUUUAAACUCAGGGAAUACUUUUCUUGCAUCCUGUAG
Molecule: long non-coding RNA, 695 nt
Filed under: Microcebus murinus (gray mouse lemur)
Lineage: Eukaryota; Metazoa; Chordata; Mammalia; Primates; Cheirogaleidae
Description: lncRNA (ENSMICG00000048640.1)
Source: RNAcentral